Molecule: long non-coding RNA, 977 nt
Organism: Papaver somniferum (opium poppy)
Lineage: Eukaryota; Viridiplantae; Streptophyta; Magnoliopsida; Ranunculales; Papaveraceae
Exons: 2
Source: RefSeq, a predicted model, not a curated record
UCAGCCGACACUCUUCCUCUUCUCUUCUGUUUCUUCUUCUCUUUGUUUUUAUUUCUUUUCUCCCCUGUUGUUCGUUGUUGUGAUUCCGAGAGUGAUUUUGAUAUUAUAAAAUCGAGAGAAAGAGAGGAAGUUUAUGGAAUGGCCGGUAAUGGUGGUAUUGAUUCAUAUAAUCAAAUCAAACUCAGGAAAAGUAAAUCAGGUUAAGGCGGCUCAUACAAGCUUUGUGGUUUUUUUCCAUGGUGCUUGUGGAUUGUUUAACAGGGUUUGAGAUGGAUUUGUCGAUGGCAGAAUUGGAUGAGUUUGAAUACAUAAACCAGUUGAAUGUCCAUGGGGUUUUGAAGGAACUGGAGCUAGAAAACAUGGAAAAUGAUAAUGGUGUUGCUGUGGAUAAUGGGGAAUGAAUUGAAGUGUAUUUGAACUAUCAAAUUACAGUAUUUGUUAUCGUAGUUCAGUGGGUCUGGUGUUUACACCGAGUUACUUGAGAUGAGUUUCGGCAAUUGGUAAGAGCUAGGAGUUGCAGGUGAAUGAAUGUGUGUGUACAUGGAAUGGUGGUUGAAUGGGGAUUGAUUUAGCAGUUGAGCUCAAUCUGAGAUAGGAGUUGCAGGUCAAUAUAGCAUGACAAUGUUAUGAGCAUGUGGCUUGAAUUGGAUGAAACUGCAAGUGGAGCUCGGUUAGGAAGUUAUGCACUGUAAAAUUAUAUGAUGAGGUUUGUGCAUGGCCGUGCAAAUGGUCUCGACUCGACUCGGCGUUUCAAAUCGACGAAUCAAGUGGAUUCAGCUAUACUCAAUAGGAAGGGCUUUUUAGACAUAUUUACGUUGCCACCUAAGCAAUAACAGCUGCUAACUUCCGUUUAUAGUUUUUUUGAAUAAAACGGUCAAGAUAAGGAUACUUUAACAAAUUUCUAAAAAGUCGGGAACUUUUUUAGUGUAAAGUGAAAGCAUGGAUACUUUAUCAAAAAGCCCUAAAAUUUCUGUGCA